RNAcentral lists this ribosomal RNA (253 nucleotides) under uncultured prokaryote. Its description in RNAcentral is "partial 16S ribosomal RNA". It matches the Rfam family "Bacterial small subunit ribosomal RNA", at positions 525 to 777 of the family's 1533-position model. The record is from RNAcentral.
ACAGAGGUGGCAAGCGUUGUUCGGAAUUACUGGGCGUAAAGGGCGCGUAGGUGGCCUUCUUAGUCAGACGUGAAAUCCCCAGGCUUAACCUGGGAACUGCGUCUGAUACUGGAAGGCUCGAGUUCGGGAGAGGAAUGUGGAAUUCCAGGUGUAGCGGUGAAAUGCGUAGAUAUCUGGAGGAACACCGGUGGCGAAGGCGGUCUGCUGGGCAGUUGCUGACACUGAGGCGCGACAGCGUGGGGAGCAAACAGGA